This 254-nucleotide ribosomal RNA is filed under the name uncultured bacterium. RNAcentral describes it as "partial 16S ribosomal RNA". It matches the Rfam family "Bacterial small subunit ribosomal RNA", at positions 524 to 776 of the family's 1533-position model. The record is from RNAcentral.
UACGUAGGGUCCAAGCGUUGUCCGGAUUUAUUGGGCGUAAAGAGCUCGUAGGCGGUGUGUCGCGUCGGCCGUGAAAACCUGCAGCUUAACUGUGGGCUUGCGGUCGAUACGGGCAUCACUGGAGUUCGGCAGGGGAGACUGGAAUUCCUGGUGUAGCGGUGAAAUGCGCAGAUAUCAGGAGGAACACCGGUGGCGAAGGCGGGUCUCUGGGCCGAUACUGACGCUGAGGAGCGAAAGCGUGGGGAGCGAACAGG